This 76-nucleotide transfer RNA is filed under the name Microbacterium sp. 5K110. RNAcentral's name for it is "tRNA-Arg". Lineage: Bacteria; Bacillati; Actinomycetota; Actinomycetes; Micrococcales; Microbacteriaceae. The record is from RNAcentral.
GUCGCAAGUCACAAGCGGGUAUCUGCUUGGUUUCCGGUACCAAAGGUCGCAGGUUCGAUUCCUGUCGGGGGCACCA